CUGAGUCUUCCUUACUUAGUUUUGGAAGCUGCAAAUGAAUUGGUGUACAGUACUGUGAUUUUCCCACAUUGAUUCUGACUUAAGACAAGAAGUGAGAUCAUCAUUGAAUAAGCACCUGACUGGGCAGGGGAGGAACAACUAGACUCAACCCAUUUCAGAGGCUUUCAAGCUUCCCACAUUCAGAAAUCCUUUCACUAUCAGGAAAGAGAGAAAACAAGGAAGGUGGAUGCUUCCCACACCAGGGUAUUGCAGUCACUUGCCCUGCAGUGCUUCAGAGGGGCAAACUCUGUAGGAGAAAUGUGAAAAUGCAAGGCUUUCGGCAGCCAACUUCUCCUUCCUGCUUCCGCUCACAAAGGCUCUUCAGUCAAAAUAGGAUAAAACAUUCUAAUAAGAAGACUCAAUUCUGAAAACCAAGAAACGGUCACUUCCUGAUGUGGAAAAGAUCAACCUGCUUGCAUUUUAUUUUGGACAGACCAUCCCUACUGAGGCAAAUAGGAAAACAGUAUAACUUCUGGCUGUGUGAAACAGGAAUAUAAAUAGUUAUUUUGCUGAACAGGAAGCUUUAGAAACCCUGGAAGGCUUAAAUGGUUCAGAGCAAUUAAAAAAAAAAUAGCAGAGGGCAUAGUUUGGACAUUUGUAUGCAUACUUUCUAGCAUAAUAAAAUAUGGUUGAAGUUAAGAUCGUUGAUAAAAGAGAUUCACCCUUUUCAGAGACUCAGUUUCAAAUAUCAGUUUGCUUAGGGCUCAAAGGUCAAACCAGCACUUCAAAUUACUCCCACAAGCAAAACAGUAACCAGGAAGCAAAAUUAUAAUCAGUGCAGCUGAUAAAAAGAUUGGUGUGACAUGAGUCACUCAGCCAGGUACUAGUGAAGACUGGGCCAUUGAAAUCUAGCCCAAAACUUUCGCAAAACUCUGUUCCUUGGAAACCAAUAUUCUCCAAACAAUUUGAAGAUGUUCUGUGUGGUGGUCCCAAUAUCUAAGCGAAGGGUAUUUGUGUUUGUGUGUGUGUGCGCAUGGUUUUGAAUCAGUUCCGUUUCAGAAGUCAAAGAAAUACCCUAACCAUGAAUUAAGAGAUCUCUCCUCAAAUGUCACCUGGAUAUGACUACAAAGAGGUGCAUCACUAGAAGACUUUUGGAAAAAAAAUUAAUUGAACCUGAACUUCUAAGUGAAGAGCUGUUGAAGACAUUACUACCUCUUCCUUCAAUAUAUCUUUAUAAAAGUAGCCUUUCAGCAUUCAUAGCAAUCAAGAUUACAUAUUGAAAUAGGCUUUAUUCAGGUGUGUCCACAAGGUGUAGUCAAAAACGUCAAGA
Molecule: non-coding RNA, 1309 nt
Organism: Python bivittatus (Burmese python)
Lineage: Eukaryota; Metazoa; Chordata; Lepidosauria; Squamata; Pythonidae
Source: RefSeq, a predicted model, not a curated record